AUGCAAGUCGAGCGGUAGAGAGAAGCUUGCUUCUCUUGAGAGCGGCGGACGGGUGAGUAAUGCCUAGGAAUCUGCCUGGUAGUGGGGGAUAACGUUCGGAAACGGACGCUAAUACCGCAUACGUCCUACGGGAGAAAGCAGGGGACCUUCGGGCCUUGCGCUAUCAGAUGAGCCUAGGUCGGAUUAGCUAGUUGGUGAGGUAAUGGCUCACCAAGGCGACGAUCCGUAACUGGUCUGAGAGGAUGAUCAGUCACACUGGAACUGAGACACGGUCCAGACUCCUACGGGAGGCAGCAGUGGGGAAUAUUGGACAAUGGGCGAAAGCCUGAUCCAGCCAUGCCGCGUGUGUGAAGAAGGUCUUCGGAUUGUAAAGCACUUUAAGUUGGGAGGAAGGGCAGUUACCUAAUACGUGAUUGUUUUGACGUUACCGACAGAAUAAGCACCGGCUAACUCUGUGCCAGCAGCCGCGGUAAUACAGAGGGUGCAAGCGUUAAUCGGAAUUACUGGGCGUAAAGCGCGCGUAGGUGGUUUGUUAAGUUGGAUGUGAAAUCCCCGGGCUCAACCUGGGAACUGCAUUCAAAACUGACUGACUAGAGUAUGGUAGAG
RNAcentral lists this ribosomal RNA (606 nucleotides) under uncultured earthworm cast bacterium. RNAcentral's name for it is "bacterial SSU rRNA". It matches the Rfam family "Bacterial small subunit ribosomal RNA", at positions 55 to 656 of the family's 1533-position model. The record is from RNAcentral.